This 494-nucleotide ribosomal RNA is filed under the name uncultured bacterium. RNAcentral's name for it is "partial 16S ribosomal RNA". It matches the Rfam family "Bacterial small subunit ribosomal RNA", at positions 28 to 507 of the family's 1533-position model. The record is from RNAcentral.
GACGAACGCUGGCGGCGUGCCUAAUACAUGCAAGUAGAACGCUGAAGGAGGAGCUUGCUUCUCUGGAUGAGUUGCGAACGGGUGAGUAACGCGUAGGAACCUGCCUGGUAGCGGGGGAUAACUAUUGGAAACGAUAGCUAAUACCGCAUAAGAGUAGAUGUCGCAUGACAUUUGCUUAAAAGGUGCAAUUGCAUCACUACCAGAUGGACCUGCGUUGUAUUAGCUAGUUGGUGAGGUAACGGCUCACCAAGGCAACGAUACAUAGCCGACCUGAGAGGGUGAUCGGCCACACUGGGACUGAGACACGGCCCAGACUCCUACGGGAGGCAGCAGUAGGGAAUCUUCGGCAAUGGACGGAAGUCUGACCGAGCAACGCCGCGUGAGUGAAGAAGGUUUUCGGAUCGUAAAGCUCUGUUGUAAGAGAAGAACGAGUGUGAGAGUGGAAAGUUCACACUGUGACGGUAUCUUACCAGAAAGGGACGGCUAACUACGUG